CCCUUAGAUGUCCUGGACCGCACGCGUGCUACACUGAUGCAUACAGCGAGCACUUCCCGGCCCCGAAAGGCGGCUGGUAAUCAGCAAUAUGCAUCGUGAUGGGGAUAGAUCUUUGGAAUUCUUGAUCUUGAACGAGGAAUGCCUAGUAGGCGCAGGUCAUUACCCUGCGUCGAUUAAGUCCCUGCCCUUUGUACACACCGCCCGUCGCUCCUACCGGUUCGAGUGAUCCGGUGAACCUUUUGGACCGAGACUGCUUGCAGACUUGGGAAAUCAAGUAAACCACGUCACUUAGAGGAAGGAGAAGUCGUAACA
This 312-nucleotide ribosomal RNA is filed under the name uncultured eukaryote. RNAcentral describes it as "partial 18S ribosomal RNA". It matches the Rfam family "Eukaryotic small subunit ribosomal RNA", at positions 1470 to 1796 of the family's 1831-position model. The record is from RNAcentral.